GACGAACGCUGGCGGCGUGCCUAAUACAUGCAAGUAGAACGCUGAAGGAGGAGCUUGCUUCUCUGGAUGAGUUGCGAACGGGUGAGUAACGCGUAGGUAACCUGCCUGGUAGCGGGGGAUAACUAUUGGAAACGAUAGCUAAUACCGCAUAAGAGUAGAUGUUGCAUGACAUUUGCUUAAAAGGUGCAAUUGCAUCACUACCAGAUGGACCUGCGUUGUAUUAGCUAGUUGGUGAGGUAACGGCUCACCAAGGCAACGAUACAUAGCCGACCUGAGAGGGUGAUCGGCCACACUGGGACUGAGACACGGCCCAGACUCCUACGGGAGGCAGCAGUAGGGAAUCUUCGGCAAUGGACGGAAGUCUGACCGAGCAACGCCGCGUGAGUGAAGAAGGUUUUCGGAUCGUAAAGCUCUGUUGUAAGAGAAGAACGAGUGUGAGAGGGAAAGUUCACAC
This 454-nucleotide ribosomal RNA is filed under the name Streptococcus mitis. Its description in RNAcentral is "bacterial SSU rRNA". It matches the Rfam family "Bacterial small subunit ribosomal RNA", at positions 28 to 469 of the family's 1533-position model. The record is from RNAcentral. Lineage: Bacteria; Bacillati; Bacillota; Bacilli; Lactobacillales; Streptococcaceae.